Molecule: ribosomal RNA, 293 nt
Filed under: uncultured bacterium
Lineage: Bacteria
Description: partial 16S ribosomal RNA
Rfam family: Archaeal small subunit ribosomal RNA
Source: RNAcentral
GUGCUAGCCGCCGCGGUAAUACCGGCAGCCCAAGUGAUGGCCGAUCUUAUUGGGCCUAAAGCGUCCGUAGCUGGCUGCGCAAGUCCGUCGGGAAAUCCACUCGCCCAACGAGUGGGCGUCCGACGGAAACUGCACAGCUUGGGACCGGAAGGCUCGAAGGGUACGUUCGGGGUAGGAGUGAAAUCCCAUAAUCCCGCACGGACCACCGAUGGGGAAACCACCUCAGGAGAACGGAUCCGACAGUGAGGGACGAAAGCCAGGGUCUCGAACCGGAUUAGAUACCCCGGUAGUCC